AAUAAUCAAUUUUGGAAAAAGAAAAUAUUUGAGUUUUGCUUAUAUUAAUUAUUAAGUAAGGAAAAAUGGUUUCAAAGACUAGUUUCAUAGUUUUGGGUCUUCUUCUGGCUAUCGUUCUUCUCAUCUCUUCAGAGGUGGCAGCUAAGGAUUUGGGUGAGAGUUCUACUAAUUAAGCAUGAAUGCAUAAUCAACUCUCGCUGUAUCCAUGCAUGUGUACUUUUGUGAUAUUUAUCGUCCACAAUUAUGCUAUCUCAUUAUCUGCAUUUUUGUGUUACAUUUUUUUACCUACUUGAUGAGAAAGAAAAAGUGUUCAUCACUUUGUAUGAAAUGUAGAACAUUUAGCGCGCGUAGUCAUAAAUUCAUUACCAUCAUAAUUAAUUUUAUGCAUGUCUAUUCAAAAUUUUCAGAGACUGCUAAUGGAGUUGAGGGUGCUAAGUAUGAUGACAAUAAUGGUGGAUUCAACAAUGGAGGAGGUCGUGGUGGAGGAUUCAAUAACGGAGGAGGAGGUCGUGGUGGUAAUGGAGGAUUCAACAAUGGAGGAGGUCGUGGCGGUGGUAAUGGUAAUGGUAAUGGUAAUGGAGGAUUCAACAACGGAGGAGGUCGUGGUGGAGGAUUCAAUAACGGAGGAGGUCGGGGUGGUAAUGGAGGGGGAAGACAGGGUGGUAAUGGAGGAGGAGGUCGUGGCGGUAAUGGAGGAGGAGGUCGUGGCGGUAAUGGAGGAGGAGGCCGUGGUGGAAAAUGCUGCUGAAAUCGUUAAUCCCUAUAUCAAAUCUGAAGGCGACUAUUAUGAUACGUACCUCAGAAUAAAAACAAUAUGUAGUGUUGCUGUGCUAGGUGCUUAAAUCUGUUCAUGCAGUGAGUCUUCUAGAAAAAUUGUUUUCAUUUUGCACUUGUGAUAUGUGUGUUCAAAUUUCCAUAGUGUAAUAAAAUGGGCGCUACUGAUGGUUUGGUUUUACGUAUUUAGCUUUUAAUUCAAAAACAAAUUCAACAAAAA
RNAcentral lists this long non-coding RNA (994 nucleotides) under Aquilegia coerulea. RNAcentral's name for it is "long non-coding RNA (ACOE_LNC001461)". The record is from RNAcentral. Lineage: Eukaryota; Viridiplantae; Streptophyta; Magnoliopsida; Ranunculales; Ranunculaceae.